RNAcentral lists this small RNA (31 nucleotides) under Bombyx mori (domestic silkworm). Its description in RNAcentral is "ovarian small RNA-33861". Lineage: Eukaryota; Metazoa; Arthropoda; Insecta; Lepidoptera; Bombycidae. The record is from RNAcentral.
UGCCUGCCGGUCGCUGCGCCGCUCGCGCUGU